GAAAGAUUCAUCGGAAGAGGAUGGGCAUGCGGCGCAUUAGCUAGACGGCGGGGUAACGGCCCACCGUGGCGACGAUGCGUAGGGGUUCUGAGAGGAAGGUCCCCCACACUGGUACUGAGACACGGACCAGACUCCUACGGGAGGCAGCAGUGAGGAAUAUUGGUCAAUGGGAGAGAUCCUGAACCAGCCAAGCCGCGUGAGGGAAGACGGCCCUAUGGGUUGUAAACCUCUUUUGUCGGAGAACAAAACCCGGGACGAGUCCCGGACUGCGUGUAUCCGAAGAAAAAGCAUCGGCUAACUCCGUGCCAGCAGCCGCGGUAAUACGGAGGAUGCGAGCGUUAUCCGGAUUUAUUGGGUUUAAAGGGUGCGUAGGCGGUCCGUUAAGUCAGCGGUAAAAUUGCGGGGCUCAACCCCGUCGAGCCGUUGAAACUGGCAGACUUGAGUUGGCGAGAAGUACGCGGAAUGCGCGGUGUAGCGGUGAAAUGCAUAGAUAUCGCGCAGAACUCCGAUUGCGAAGGCAGCGUACCGGCGCCACACUGACGCUGAGGCACGAAAGCGUGGGGAUCGAACAGGAUUAGAUACCCUGGUAGUCCACGCAGUAAACGAUGAAUGCUGGUUGUCCGGGUCGAA
RNAcentral lists this ribosomal RNA (630 nucleotides) under uncultured bacterium. RNAcentral describes it as "bacterial SSU rRNA". It matches the Rfam family "Bacterial small subunit ribosomal RNA", at positions 202 to 833 of the family's 1533-position model. The record is from RNAcentral.